CAGCAACGCUGGAUCCGAGCCGCGUCUGCAACCUACACCACAGCUCACGGCAACGCCGGAUGAUUAACCCACUAAGCAAGGGCAGGGACCGAACCCGCAAUCUCAUGGUUCCUAGUCGGAUUCGUUAACCACUGCGCCACGACGGGAACUCCGGAUUAUAUAUUUAUAAUCACUUAUACAUGGAAUCCAAAAAUUAAAACGAACAAAUAUAACAAAAUAGAAACAGACUCAUAAAUACAGACAACUGAUGGUUACCAGAGGAGAGGGGGUAAGGGAAUGAAUGAAGUAGCUGAGGGAUAUUAAGAGGUAUAAACUUCAAGUCAAAAAAUAAAUAAGUCAUGGAGAUGUAAUAUACAGCGUAGAGAAUACAGUCAAUAAUACUGUAAGAACCUUGUAUGGUGACAGAUGAUAACUAGACUUAUGGCGGUCAAUUUGCAAUGUGCAAACUAGUGAAUUAUGAUGUAUACCUGCAACUAUAUAAUACAGUAAGUCAAUUAUACUUCAAUUUAAAAACACUGGUAAAUAAUGCUGAGCAGCCUCAGUAUGUCUUCUGAAAGCUUACAGUAUAUGGAGAAAAUUUCUAUUUUUAAAUCAAUUUUAUUGAGAUGUAAUUUACCUACAAUACCAAUUUUACACGUAUAAUUCACUGAGUUUUGACAAAUGUAUAUAGUCACAUAAACACCAUCUCUCUAAUUAUGAUACAGUAUAUUUUCAUCACCCUACAUUAGUUUUUUUUUUCAGUUAUUUUUGGCUGCUGUGUGCAGCAGCUUGGUGGGGGAUCUCAGUUCCCAGACCAGGGCUCAAACUCAGGCCACAGGGUGAAAAUACUGAGUCCUAAUCAUUAGACCACAAGGGAACUCUCAGUUUUUUUUUUAAAGGGUGAAAACACAAAAUAAUUACAAAUUGCAAUAAGAGCUAGGAAGGAUAAAGACGCAGGAAGUAGUCUAUAAUACAUAGAUUACUAAUUGUAAUUUUGGGAGUAUUAACUUAAAAAAUUACAGAUUUUCAAAUUCAUAGAGACUUUGAAGCUCAUCACAUUCAGUUUCCAUAAGGAACCUAAGGCAUCAAUAAUUAAAAUGCUGUGAUCAAGGCAAGAGGCAAAGGCAAAAUCUAGACCUGAACACAGGUUUCCUAACUCCAUAUCCUACAUCCAUUCUUCAUUCAACUUUCACUGAGCAUCUGCUAUGAUUAGGAACUAUGCUCAGUGCUGAAGAAGAGUCAAAAAUUAAAAACACCCCUUCCCACCUCUCAAACUGCUAACCAUCCCAGAAGGGACAUAAGCAUGCAAAAAAAAGAAUCACCAAAAGAUAAAUGAUAUAAAAGACGUUUGCAAAAUUCUGUAGCAUCAAGAAGGGAGACCCUAACUCUGCUUAGGAAGAUCUUGGAUGGCUUCACUUCAGCCAAAUCAUAUGAAAUGAGUAAGAUUUGUCCUGUAAGACGAAAAGAAGGACAGCACUUCAGAAAGAGUAAAGCAAAGGUGCAGGAAAAAAACCAGUGUGAAAGAACACUGUAUGUUCAGGGUAUAAGUAUAAAAAGUAUCGGGAUUCCUCUACUUUUGAGCUUUAUUUUUCUUAUUUUCAUCAAAGUAAUACAUGCACAUGGUAAAGUAGUACUAAAAGACUUAAAACAGUCCUACUGGCAAACUCUCUCCUGGUCACGCCACCAUCAAGGCUUUCCCAUUCCCAGAUGUAACCACAUUAUGCACAUUCAGCUGUUGCUUUUGGCAUUUAACUCCGUGUUUCUAAAUCAUGAGUAUAUACUGAUAUAUUGGUAUCCUCCAUGGUAUGAGAAUUUUCAUUUUAUCUCCACUUCACCUUCCCCACCACGGUUGAAAUAUUAUUUGGGGCUAUAUAAUUGUUUUUAUAAGGACUAAAUAAAUAUUGCUUACUAAUCAAAGCAUUAUACUGUAUUUCCUUUACGUAACAACUUUUUUCUAAAGUUGAUCUGCAUGCACUUUAUUAUUCUUUUUCAGUCUCUGGGUAAAUCUUCCCCUACAUUCCAAUAGCUCUAGAGACAUUCAAUACAAUUUUUCUUAAAGUCAAGCCUAUCAGGUAAUUUUUUCUUUCCUGUGGUUAUGCCCCUGCUCCAAUCUUUACUGGACCCCUGGGCUAUCGUAGGAAUUACUUUCCUUCACAGUUAUUCAGUCAUUGCUCUAUAUCUUCUAGUUUCUAAUGCUGCUAUUGAGAAAUCUGAUUCCAUUCUUAUUCCUGAACUUUAUAUGUGAUUUUUUUUCAUCCUCCAGAAGUAUAUGAGUUAGGAUGGUAUUUAGUUGCAGGUAAAAGAAAAUCCAACAUAUAAUAGCUUAACCAAAUAGGGAAUCUCCCCAUCCCCCAAUGUCACAAGAAAUCCAGAGAUGUGUAGUGACUGACAUCAUAGAUUCAUCAAUUCAAGCAUAUCAGACUUGAGAUUUGAUGGACAAAAAAUGACUACUGUAACUCCAGUCACUUUGGUCACAUUCCAGGUAGAAGAGGAAAGAGAAGUAUAGCCUAUAUCAGAAAACAAAAUUCUUCUAGACAUUCUUCAGCACACUUCUAUUUAACAUUUAAAAGACUAACACUUUAUCACACAUGCAUACUUAGCUACAAGGAAGUUUAAAAACGCAAGUUUUUUAUCUUUUCAGCCUCUUAAAUUAAGAAAAGUAAGGGUGGAGUUCCCACUGUGGCACAGUGGGUUAAGGAUCCGACUGCUGCAGUUCAAGUCACUGCAGAGGCACAAGUUUGAUCCCCGGCCUGGAAACAUCCAUAUGCCACAGGUGCAGGGAAGGAAGGAAGGAAGGAAGGAAGGAAGGAAGGAAGGAAAUCAAAGGUAACAGGAGGGAGCUCCCGUCAUGGCGCAUUUUUAAGUCUACUGCUCCCAAAGCAUUCACUGUGAUCAUAUCCUUUAUCAUACGGUACUAUGUUUUCUAAGCCUUUUUUUACAAAUUGAAAGAUUUGUAAAAAUGAAAACUCACC
Molecule: long non-coding RNA, 2951 nt
Filed under: Sus scrofa (pig)
Lineage: Eukaryota; Metazoa; Chordata; Mammalia; Artiodactyla; Suidae
Description: lncRNA (ENSSSCG00065037473.1)
Source: RNAcentral